AAAUUAAUAGUUUGCUGUUGAAAAUCAAGGACAUUAGCUGCUAAUUUAUUGACCAAAGUUUCCAGAGAAUUACCUGAAUCUUGUGGCUGUUGUGGGACCCAAUUUAGGUAUGGCUGGUUAUAUCGUGGAUUAGCCCCAUAAGUAAAGUUAGGGUGGUCCCUCCAUCCUGGGUUGUAGGUAUUGGCAUAAGGGUCGUAUCGCCUUUGUGGUGG
Molecule: long non-coding RNA, 212 nt
Filed under: Gossypium barbadense (sea-island cotton)
Lineage: Eukaryota; Viridiplantae; Streptophyta; Magnoliopsida; Malvales; Malvaceae
Description: long non-coding RNA (GBAR_LNC002646)
Source: RNAcentral